This is a long non-coding RNA of Camelus dromedarius (Arabian camel), 1695 nucleotides long. The record is from Ensembl. NCBI's taxonomy places the organism in Eukaryota, Metazoa, Chordata, Mammalia, Artiodactyla, Camelidae.
GUGGACUUUCCGGUUCAUGAUGGAUUGGAGUUUUUCAAGGAAACUUAUCCAUCUCAGGGCCUGGGUUGAAGGUGGGACAUAACCAGGCCUCUUGAGAAUCAAAUUGUUGUUGAGGGAAAAGCAGGAAGUACUCCCAGACCUUCACUGUGUUUUCAUCCGUUACAAGCUCAUCCACGUCUGACCUUGGCUUCUUCAUACCGUGCUGAGGCCUGUAGUGGGCCGUGAAGGAGGGGACAAAAAUUUUUUUCAUGAAAAGGAAUUGAUGUUUUCAAAACCAAAAUAAUUGUUUUGUUUGUAUAAUAUUUCUUUAAUUUUCUCCAAUGUGUGGACUGUUCUGGACCCUUCAGAUGGAGGAGAUGAAUGGAAGUGGCCACAGUCACACUUAGAGAGAAUAGUUCACCAGAGAUGCUGACGAAUCUAAGGUGCAGGCUGGCGGCCCUGAGGAAGCUGGCGCUGACCGAGGGGAGAGACGUGGUGACAGAGCGCUGGGGUUGGUGGGAGACCACAGGCCCGUGUGGGAACUUGCUCUGAACUGAGUCCCGGUUCCCCGGUGCCAUCAGCCCGCCUUCCUCCUGCGCGCGCGUGGAGAAUGGUACUGUGUUAAGCCAGAACUUGCUGGGUGUUUCAGGACUCAGUGGUCUUGGAGGAUGUGGCUGUGGCCUUCAGCCCAGAGGAGUGGGCUUUGCUUGAUGUGGCUCAGAGGAGCCUCUACAGAGAUGUCAUGCUGGAGACCUUCAGGAACCUGGCCUCCAUAGGUGAGGGGCACCGAUCCUUCACGUCCUCUGCAGAGCGCAAGUAUCCCCAAGCUGCUGAGCGGGUUUCAGGACUUGGGCUGAACGGUGGGAACCUACUGCUGAGGAAGGCAGACAGGGUCGCGUUACUGUGGAGCCCACCGUGGGACAGCUUUCUUGUGAGAAAACUGGGGAUGCCAUAGCACCAGAGGUCAGCGCAGGAACCAGGGACCAUGUCUGCGGUGAGUGACACACAUUGGAGGAAGCAGGUCUCAGGAGAGAGAGCUGAGACAUCACUGUGCAUGUGUGUCUGUGUGUGCAGACACGUGCCAGGCCUUCCAGUCACAGAGCUUCACAGGACAGACGGCAUGUGGUGGAGAGGCCCUCAGAAAAUCGUGACGGUGGUGCGCGUGGAGAAGCCGACCGGACUGCCAGGCUUACUGUGCAGGAGAGGCUUCCUGCGGGGGCGAAGUCCUACGGCUACAGCAAGCUUGCCAAAAUCAUGGCUUCUUCAUCUGAAAAAGCCACUGUGGGUUCUUCCUCACUAAAGGCUCCCACAGCAUUGCCUCAGCGUGGACUAAAGCCCUAUUGAUGUGAGGAACGUGGGAGAACUUUUAGUUGUUACUCAUCCUUCAGGGCACACGUAAGAGCUCACACUGAAGAAAACCCUACGUGUGUAAAGAAUGUGGAAAAGCCUUUAUAUAUUUCUCCAAACUCAGAGUCCACGUAAGAACUCGCCCUGGAGAGAAGCCUUAUGAGUGUGAGAAGUGCGGGAAAACCUUCAGAUCGCCCUCAAACCUCUGGACGCACAGAGAAACUCAUUUGGUCGAGAAACCCUAUGCUUGUAAAGAAUGUGAGAAAGCCUUCUCUUCUCCCUCUUCUCUUAGAAAACACGUGAAGGUUCACGGUGCAGAGAGAGCCUGUGAAUGUAAGGAGUGUGGAAAAGCCUUCCUCCAUUCUUUUU